This 46-nucleotide non-coding RNA is filed under the name Schistosoma mansoni. The record is from RNAcentral. Lineage: Eukaryota; Metazoa; Platyhelminthes; Trematoda; Strigeidida; Schistosomatidae.
GCACUGCUGAGGAGUCCCAUAAUAGGACGAUAGGGCCGUCCAGUGU